UACGUAGGGGGCAAGCGUUGUCCGGAUUUAUUGGGCGUAAAGAGCGUGUAGGCGGCCUGAAAGGUCAGCUGUGAAAACUCGAGGCUCAACCUCGAGACGUCGGUUGAAACCAUCUGGCUAGAGUCCGGAAGAGGAGUGUGGAAUUCCCGGUGUAGCGGUGAAAUGCGCAGAUAUCGGGAAGAACACCCGUGGCGAAGGCGGUUCUCUGGGACGGUACUGACGCUGAGACGCGAAAGCGUGGGGAGCGAACAGGAUUAGAUACCCGGAG
This 268-nucleotide ribosomal RNA is filed under the name uncultured bacterium. RNAcentral describes it as "partial 16S ribosomal RNA". It matches the Rfam family "Bacterial small subunit ribosomal RNA", at positions 524 to 791 of the family's 1533-position model. The record is from RNAcentral.